GACGACUCCUACGGGAGGCAGCAGUGAGGAAUAUUGGUCAAUGGACGAGAGUCUGAACCAGCCAAGUAGCGUGCAGGAUGACGGCCCUAUGGGUUGUAAACUGCUUUUAUAAGGGAAUAAAGUUAGUCUCGUGAGAUUUUUUGCAUGUACCUUAUGAAUAAGGACCGGCUAAUUCCGUGC
This 180-nucleotide ribosomal RNA is filed under the name uncultured bacterium. RNAcentral describes it as "partial 16S ribosomal RNA". It matches the Rfam family "Bacterial small subunit ribosomal RNA", at positions 331 to 508 of the family's 1533-position model. The record is from RNAcentral.